AACGAACGCUGGCGGCAGGCCUAACACAUGCAAGUCGAACGCCCCUUCGGGGGAGUGGCAGACGGGUGAGUAACGCGUGGGAACCUUCCCUGUGGUACGGAAUAGCUCCGGGAAACUGGAAUUAAUACCGUAUACGCCCUUCGGGGGAAAGAUUUAUCGCCAUAGGAUGGGCCCGCGUCGGAUUAGCUAGUUGGUGAGGUAACGGCUCACCAAGGCUACGAUCCGUAGCUGGUCUUAGAGGAUGAUCAGCCACACUGGGACUGAGACACGGCCCAGACUCCUACGGGAGGCAGCAGUGGGGAAUAUUGGACAAUGGGCGCAAGCCUGAUCCAGCCAUGCCGCGUGAGUGACGAAGGCCUUAGGGUUGUAAAGCUCUUUUGGCGGGGACGAUAAUGACGGUACCCGCAGAAUAAGCCCCGGCUAACUUCGUG
RNAcentral lists this ribosomal RNA (431 nucleotides) under uncultured bacterium. Its description in RNAcentral is "bacterial SSU rRNA". It matches the Rfam family "Bacterial small subunit ribosomal RNA", at positions 29 to 507 of the family's 1533-position model. The record is from RNAcentral.